RNAcentral lists this transfer RNA (76 nucleotides) under Holosporales bacterium. RNAcentral describes it as "tRNA-Thr". It matches the Rfam family "tRNA". From Rfam's summary of the family: Transfer RNA (tRNA) molecules are approximately 80 nucleotides in length. Their secondary structure includes four short double-helical elements and three loops (D, anti-codon, and T loops). The record is from RNAcentral. Lineage: Bacteria; Pseudomonadati; Pseudomonadota; Alphaproteobacteria; Holosporales.
GCCGAUUUAGCUCAGUCGGUAGAGCAACUGAUUUGUAAUCAGUAGGUCGGGGGUCCGAGUCCCUCAAUCGGCGCCA